GGCGUGGUAAAGAUAUGCAAGUCGAGCGCUGCUUAUUGUGUAGCAAUACAUGGUAAGCGGAGCGGCGCAAGGGUGCGUAACACGUGGCUAAUUUACCAUAAAGUUGGGGAUAACUCGCUGAAAGGCGAGCUAAUACCGAAUGUGACUACUUGGAGGCAUCUCUGGAUACUCAAAGUUGGGGAUCGUAAGACCUGACGCUUUAUGAUGGGCCCGCGGCCUAUCAGCUAGUUGGUGAGGUAACGGCUCACCAAGGCUAAGACGGGUAGCUGGUCUGAGAGGACGACCAGCCACACUGGAACUGAGACACGGUCC
RNAcentral lists this ribosomal RNA (312 nucleotides) under uncultured bacterium. Its description in RNAcentral is "bacterial SSU rRNA". It matches the Rfam family "Bacterial small subunit ribosomal RNA", at positions 41 to 332 of the family's 1533-position model. The record is from RNAcentral.